Molecule: ribosomal RNA, 253 nt
Filed under: uncultured bacterium
Lineage: Bacteria
Description: partial 16S ribosomal RNA
Rfam family: Bacterial small subunit ribosomal RNA
Source: RNAcentral
CACGUAGGGCGCGAGCGUUGUCCGGAAUUAUUGGGCGUAAAGAGCUCGUAGGCGGCCUGUUGCGUCCGCUGUGAAAGCCCGGGGCUUAACCCCGGGUCGGCAGUGGAUACGGGCAGGCUAGAGGUAGGUAGGGGAGAAUGGAAUUCCCGGUGUAGCGGUGAAAUGCGCAGAUAUCGGGAGGAACACCGGUGGCGAAGGCGGUUCUCUGGGCCGACACUGACGCUGAUGCGCGAAAGCCAGGGGAGCGAACGGG